AGCAGCAGCAGAGUCAACAGAGGACAAGAAGCCAGAGUAGAGUAACAGUAGCAGCAGCAGAGUCAACAGAGGACAAGAAGCCAGAGUAUAGUAACAGUAGCAGCAGCAGAGUCAACAGAGGACAAGAAGCCAGAGUAGAGUAACAGUAGCAGUAGCAGAGUCAACAGAGGACAAGAAGCCACAUAGAGUAACAGUAGCAGCAGCAGAGUCAACAGAGGACAAGAAGCCAGCAUAGAGUAACAGUAGCAGCAGCAGAGUCAACAGAGGACAAGAAGCCAGAGUAGAGUAACAGUAGCAGCAGCAGAGUCAACAGAGGACAAGAAGCCAGCAUAGAGUAACAGUAGCAGAGUCAACAGAGGACAAGAAGCCAGAGUAGAGUAACAGUAGCAGCAGCAGCAGAAGGAUGUGAGAUCAGACCCGGUCAGUUUAAUAGACCAACAGAAUAAGAUGGUGGUGAAUGAUACUAGUCUCUAAUUGGACACUCAGGUUUCCUUCCUGAACUGGCCUACUGUUCUUGUGUACUUAUCUGUUUACUAUCUGUAGAUUGUAUUGCUUGUCUUUUUCUAUGGAAUUUUGCCAAUUCCAGAUUUUUAAUAACAUAUUAAGUAUUGAUUUGUCUUAAUGACACAAAAAUUAAUUAUAUUGACAAGAGUUUUAAAUAUUUGUAUCUCUGGAGUUCCUGAUGUGUUAAAAUAUGUUUUACUUUGUAUUGCUGUCAGUCAUUACUGGUCAUUUUAUAUUUUAUAUUAUGUAAUACCAUAUUGUUCAGUGUUAUGAUAUUGCUUGUUUUAUUUUCAAAUUAUUAAUGAUUCAUUAGUACAUUUAUUUGAGAUACAUUGAAUACAGUAUAAGCAUCAUGUUGUAAAUAAGCUCAAAUGUAGACAAUAAAUAGACAACAAAUAAAUUGAUUGUUUGACUAACAUGCAUUGAUUCAUAACUAAAUCCAUUCUGCUCGUUUCUUGUAUUUCUACCUAUUGGACACAUGAUGGAACC
Long non-coding RNA from Oncorhynchus tshawytscha (Chinook salmon), 993 nucleotides. NCBI's taxonomy places the organism in Eukaryota, Metazoa, Chordata, Actinopteri, Salmoniformes, Salmonidae. The record is from Ensembl.